CCCAGAAUGAAGUGGGGGACACUGUUUGCAGUAUAUAUAUAAUUAUACAAAUCGAGCAAAACAGCGCAGCAGGGGAAAAUUGAAAUUACAAUUUCUUACAUGGCCUAAAAUUGGUGUAUCAGAAGAAGAUGAAGCUGAAGAUUUAUUUAAUUUACCUUUAAGACUUACUUUAAGGACUACAAUCAGGGGCUGGCAGAUGAUUAUUUCAACACUGUUCUUUCUGGGGUCUGCAAACUCUCAGUGGCAUCUCUACAAAUCUAGACUGCAUUGGAAGCCAAAAAUCAAUUUUAUUUAAAAGGUCCGUCAACCAAUUUGUGGAAGUCAUAAAAUGAAAAGAGACCCACAGGAUAAUUAACUGCCCAGCUGGGCACACUGUUGUUUGCCAUUUGGAGGGUUUGGCACAUCAAAAAGCUGCAGAGAGUGGGAGAAAUAUUGGAAAACGUUUUGAAAUUUCGAUUUUCACACCAUUUUGAGGACAUCAGAUGGACAGUGAGGGCAACAAACCUUCCCCUGGGUUUGUAGCCCUGACUUCAGUCAGGUGUCUCACUUGGAUAUAUCAACAUGAGGUACAGCUCAAGAUCUGAGAGCAGCAGAAUUUUGCCCAUGGCAGAAACUGAUGUAACUCUCAUUUUCUGUCUCAUCUGACAGUUUGGCUUCUUGCUUCCCAAAAUCUUUUGAAAGAGAAAAAUAAGAGGUUUUUUUUUGUUGCUGUUGUUGCUGCUGCUGUAUCUUAGCUGCAAAAAUCAAGGGUUCAGCCAGGGCACAGCAGGGAUUAAAUUGAGAGGGCACUGGUUUCUGUACCAAAAAAUUUGAAAACAGAGACAAUGAGGGCUGGAAGAGGGGGGUGAUUUGUCUUAGUUACUCUUUCCCUCUAGGCAACCACAGUCCCUUAACCAGAGCUAAACCAGGCUAACUGCAAUCCUCUCUUUGAAACAUUGAUCAGCUCCCAGUCCUAAUGAACUGGCUGGGAAUCAAUUGUUAUUAAAAUCUGGCUGUUCCCUAAUCAGGAAAAAAAAAAAAAAGAAAAAAAAAAAAGGAAAAAAAAGAAAAAAAAAAAAGAAAAAAGGGGAAAAAAGGAAAAAAAGGAGAAAAAAUAAAAAAUAAAAGAAAAAAAAGAAAAAAAAAAGA
RNAcentral lists this long non-coding RNA (1128 nucleotides) under Cyanistes caeruleus (blue tit). RNAcentral's name for it is "lncRNA (ENSCCEG00000018365.1)". Lineage: Eukaryota; Metazoa; Chordata; Aves; Passeriformes; Paridae. The record is from RNAcentral.